This 497-nucleotide ribosomal RNA is filed under the name uncultured bacterium. RNAcentral describes it as "partial 16S ribosomal RNA". It matches the Rfam family "Bacterial small subunit ribosomal RNA", at positions 28 to 507 of the family's 1533-position model. The record is from RNAcentral.
GAUGAACGCUGGCGGCGUGCCUAAUACAUGCAAGUCGAGCGAACGGACGAGAAGCUUGCUUCUCUGAUGUUAGCGGCGGACGGGUGAGUAACACGUGGAUAACCUACCUAUAAGACUGGGAUAACUUCGGGAAACCGGAGCUAAUACCGGAUGAUAUUUUGAACCGCAUGGUUCAAAAGUGAAAGACGGUCUUGCUGUCACUUAUAGAUGGAUCCGCGCUGCAUUAGCUAGUUGGUAAGGUAACGGCUUACCAAGGCAACGAUGCAUAGCCGACCUGAGAGGGUGAUCGGCCACACUGGAACUGAGACACGGUCCAGACUCCUACGGGAGGCAGCAGUAGGGAAUCUUCCGCAAUGGGCGUAAGCCUGACGGAGCAACGCCGCGUGAGUGAUGAAGGUCUUCGGAUCGUAAAACUCUGUUAUUAGGGAAGAACAUAUGUGUAAGUAACUGUGCACAUCUUGACGGUACCUAAUCAGAAAGCCACGGCUAACUACGUG